Molecule: unclassified non-coding RNA, 306 nt
Filed under: uncultured Pleosporales
Lineage: Eukaryota; Fungi; Ascomycota; Dothideomycetes; Pleosporales
Description: partial contains 5.8S ribosomal RNA, internal transcribed spacer 2, and large subunit ribosomal RNA
Rfam family: 5.8S ribosomal RNA (bases 1-102)
Source: RNAcentral
AUGCGAUAAGUAGUGUGAAUUGCAGAAUUCAGUGAAUCAUCGAAUCUUUGAACGCACAUUGCGCCCCUUGGUAUUCCAUGGGGCAUGCCUGUUCGAGCGUCAUUUACCCCCUCAAGCUCUGCUUGGUGUUGGGCGUCUGUCCCGUCUUCGCGCGUGGACUCGCCUUAAAGGUAUUGGCAGUCGUCUGUGUUUUUGCCCACGCGCAGCACAUUGCGCUUCUUGAGGCUUGUGAAACUCGACCGACAACCAUCAAGACUCCUUCCACAGUUUGACCUCGGAUCAGGUAGGGAUACCCGCUGAACUUAA